AAGCUGUGGAGUGAAGCCACCAUGAAGAAUGGUGAGAGACCCACUGGAUGGGCUAUGGUGGAGAAAGGGGGGGUUCUGGAUUAAAGGGCAAAUUACUACACAAUCUGAUGUUCCUGCCAAGGUCUAUACUGACAGCGCCUACGCAUAUCAUUCACUUCAUACCGGGGUCCAGUUUGGUAAAGUUGUCAUUUGACCACAGCAGCAGGCCUUGAUUGCCCAUCAGGCUGACAUUUCAGUCAAACUUCUGAUGCUCUGACACACUUAAGCCCUUCCAAGUGUUAUUACAUCACAGUACACAGUGUACAAGCGAAGGACGCUGAUCUGGUAGAGAGGUGUUAUUACAUCACAGGACACAGUGUACAAGCGAAGGACGCUGAUCUGACGGAGAGGUGUUAUUACAUCACAGGACACAGUGUACAAGCGAAG
Clupea harengus (Atlantic herring) is the source of this 426-nucleotide long non-coding RNA. Lineage: Eukaryota; Metazoa; Chordata; Actinopteri; Clupeiformes; Clupeidae. The record is from Ensembl.